GUGGUGAUAUGUAGAAGUGGAGAUAUGUAGAAGUGGUGAUAUGUAGAAGUGGAGAUAUGUAGAAGUGGAGAUAUGUAGAAGUGGAGAUAUGUAGAUAUUGAGAUAUGUAGAAGUGGAGAUAUGUAGAAGUGGAGAUAUGUAUAAAUGGAGAUAUGUAGAAGUGGAGAUAUGUAGAAGUGGGGAUAUGUAGAGUGGAGAUAUGUAGAAGUGGCGAUAUGUAGAGUGGAGAUAUGUAGAGUGGAGAUAUGUAGAAGUGGAGAUAUGUAGAAGUGGAGAUAUGUAGAAAUGGAGAUAUGUAGAAGUGGAGAUAUGUAGAAGUGGAGAUAUGUAGAAGUGGAGAUAUGUAGAAGUGGAGAUAUGUAGAAGGGGAGAUAUGUAGAAGUGGAGAUAUGGAGAUAUGUAGAAAUGUAGAUAUGUAGAAAUGUAGAUAUGUAGAAGUGGAGAUAUGUAGAAGUGGAGAUAUGUAGAAGUGGAGAUAUGUAGAAUGGAGAUAUGUAGAAGUGGAGAUAUGUAGAAGUGGAGAUAUGUAGAGUGGAGAUAUGUAGAAAUGGAGAUAUGUAGAGUGGAGAUAUGUAGAAGUGGAGAUAUGUAGAGUGGAGAUAUGUAGAAAUGGAGAUAUGUAGAAGUGGAGAUAUGUAGAAAUGGAGAUAUGUAGAAGUGGAGAUAUGUAGAAAUGGAGAUAUGUAGAAGUGGAGAUAUGUAGAAGUGGAGAUAUGUAGAAGUGGAGAUAUGUAGAGUGGAGAUAUGUAGAAGUGGAGAUAUGUAGAAGUGGAGAUAUGUAGAAGUGGAGAUAUGUAGAAGUGGAGAUAUGUAGAAGUGGAGAUAUGUAGAAGUGGA
RNAcentral lists this long non-coding RNA (837 nucleotides) under Salmo salar (Atlantic salmon). Its description in RNAcentral is "lncRNA (ENSSSAG00000087092.1)". The record is from RNAcentral. Lineage: Eukaryota; Metazoa; Chordata; Actinopteri; Salmoniformes; Salmonidae.